AGUGAACGCUGGCGGCGUGCUUAACACAUGCAAGUCGAACGAGAAACGGACUUAGCUUGCUAAAUUGCAGUCUAAGUGGCGCACGGGUGAGUAAUGUAUAGGUACUAUGCCUCUUACUAAUGGAUAACAAUUGGAAACGCUUGAUAAUACCUUAUAUGCCUUUAAGACUAAAGUCUGCAAGGGAAAGAUUUAUGGGUAAGAGAUUAGCCUGUAUUGUAUCAGCUAGUUGGUGAGGUAAGAGCUCACCAAGGCUAUGACGCAUAACUGGUUUGAGGGGGUGAUCAGUCAAACUGGAGCUGAGACACGGUCCAGACUCCUACGGGAGGCAGCAGUGGGGAAUAUUGCACAAUGGACGAAAGUCUGAUGCAGCAACGCCGCGUGGAGGAUGACACAUUUCGGGGCGUAAACUCCUUUUAUAUAGGAAGAUAAUGUCGGUACUAUAUGAAUAAGCACCGGCUAACUCCGUGCCAGCAGCCGCCGUAA
This 483-nucleotide ribosomal RNA is filed under the name uncultured bacterium. RNAcentral's name for it is "partial 16S ribosomal RNA". It matches the Rfam family "Bacterial small subunit ribosomal RNA", at positions 29 to 523 of the family's 1533-position model. The record is from RNAcentral.